GUUUCCGUAGCUCAGCAGGAUAGAGCACUCGCCUCCUAAGCGAGGGGUCGGGCGUUCGAAUCGCCUCGGGAACGCUA
This 77-nucleotide transfer RNA is filed under the name Lachnospiraceae bacterium. Its description in RNAcentral is "tRNA-Arg". It matches the Rfam family "tRNA". Rfam says of the family: Transfer RNA (tRNA) molecules are approximately 80 nucleotides in length. Lineage: Bacteria; Bacillati; Bacillota; Clostridia; Lachnospirales; Lachnospiraceae. The record is from RNAcentral.